RNAcentral lists this long non-coding RNA (201 nucleotides) under Ananas comosus (pineapple). Its description in RNAcentral is "long non-coding RNA (ACOM_LNC041854)". Lineage: Eukaryota; Viridiplantae; Streptophyta; Magnoliopsida; Poales; Bromeliaceae. The record is from RNAcentral.
GAAGAUGCUCCAAGUCCACUAGUAGCUCUCAAACUUCUUCUUCUUCCUUCCUUCUUCUCCUUCUCCAUCUCCUUCUUCUUCUUCUUCUUCUUCUUCUCUAUCUAGGGUGUAGAGAGAGUUGAGAGGAAAGAAAUGAGGAGAGGAGAGAGGGGAUGGGUCAUAUAGACCAUCUAUUGUAACAAAAUCCAGCUAGGUCCUCCA